RNAcentral lists this ribosomal RNA (442 nucleotides) under uncultured bacterium. RNAcentral's name for it is "partial 16S ribosomal RNA". It matches the Rfam family "Bacterial small subunit ribosomal RNA", at positions 338 to 795 of the family's 1533-position model. The record is from RNAcentral.
CCUACGGGGGGCAGCAGUGGGGAAUAUUGGGCAAUGGAGGAAACUCUGACCCAGCAACGCCGCGUGAAUGAUGAAGGUCUUCGGAUUGUAAAGUUCUUUUCUAAGGGAAGAAGAAAGUGACGGUACCUUAGGAAUAAGCCUCGGCUAACUACGUGCCAGCAGCCGCGGUAAUACGGAGGAUGCGAGCGUUAUCCGGAUUUAUUGGGUUUAAAGGGUGCGUAGGCGGAAUAUCAAGUCAGCGGUAAAAAUUCGGGGCUCAACCCCGUCGUGCCGUUGAAACUGAUGUUCUUGAGUGGGCGAGAAGUAUGCGGAAUGCGUGGUGUAGCGGUGAAAUGCAUAGAUAUCACGAAGAACUCCGAUUGCGAAGGCAGCUUACUAAACUGCCACUGACAUUGAUGCUCGAAAGUGUGGGUAUCAAACAGGAUUAGAUACCCUGGUAGUC